UACAGAGGGGGCAAGCGUUAUUCGGAAUUAUUGGGCGUAAAGGGCGCGUAGGCGGUCCUUCAAGUCUCUCGUGAAAUCCCUCGGCUUAACUGAGGACGUGCGGGAGAUACUGCUGGGCUUGAGUCCGGAAGAGGGUGGUGGAAUUCCCAGUGUAGCGGUGAAAUGCGUAGAUAUUGGGAGGAACACCGGUGGCGAAGGCGGCCACCUGGGCCGGAACUGACGCUGAGGCGCGAAAGCGUGGGGAGCAAACGGG
This 253-nucleotide ribosomal RNA is filed under the name uncultured bacterium. Its description in RNAcentral is "partial 16S ribosomal RNA". It matches the Rfam family "Bacterial small subunit ribosomal RNA", at positions 524 to 776 of the family's 1533-position model. RNAcentral also lists the same sequence under 1 other name. The record is from RNAcentral.